CCUACGGGAGGCAGCAGUGAGGAAUAUUGGUCAAUGGGCGGAAGCCUGAACCAGCCAAGUAGCGUGCAGGAUGACGGCCCUACGGGUUGUAAAUUGUUUUUAUACGGGAAUAACGCGCCUUACGUGUAGGGCUUUGCAUGUACCGUAUGAACAAGGACCGGCUAAGUCCGUGCCAGAAGCCGCGGUAAUACGGUGGGUCCGGGCGUUGUCUGGAUUUAUUGGGUUUAACGGGAGCGUAGGCCGCAUGUCAAGCGUGCUGUGAAAUGUCCGGGCUCAACCCGGGCACUGCAGCGGGAACUGGCGUGCUUGAGUCCGGGGGAGGCAGGCGGAAUU
This 333-nucleotide ribosomal RNA is filed under the name uncultured bacterium. RNAcentral's name for it is "partial 16S ribosomal RNA". It matches the Rfam family "Bacterial small subunit ribosomal RNA", at positions 338 to 668 of the family's 1533-position model. The record is from RNAcentral.